Molecule: ribosomal RNA, 253 nt
Filed under: uncultured bacterium
Lineage: Bacteria
Description: partial 16S ribosomal RNA
Rfam family: Bacterial small subunit ribosomal RNA
Source: RNAcentral
UACGUAGGGGGCUAGCGUUGUCCGGAAUCAUUGGGCGUAAAGCGCGCGUAGGCGGCCCGGUAAGUCCGCUGUGAAAGUCAAAGGCUCAACCUUUGAAUGUCAGCGGAUACUGCCGGGCUAGAGUCCGGAAGAGGAGAGUGGAAUUCCUGGUGUAGCGGUGAAAUGCGCAGAUAUCAGGAAGAACACCCGUGGCGAAGGCGGCUCUCUGGGACGGUACUGACGCUGAGACGCGAAAGCGUGGGGAGCGAACAGG